AAUGAACGCUGGCGGCGCGCCUAAUACAUGCAAGUCGAGCGAGAAGACGUAGCAAUACGUUUGUAAAGCGGCGAACGGGUGAGGAGUACAUGGGUAACCUACCCUAGAGUGGGGAAUAACUAGCCGAAAGGUUAGCUAAUACCGCGUACGCUCCUUGGACUUCGGUUCAGGGAGGAAAGCGAUGCCGAGGGUAUCGCGCUCUUGGAUGGGCUCAUGUCCUAUCAGCUUGNGGUGAGGUAACGGCUCACCAAGGCUUCGACGGGUAGCUGGUCUGAGAGGACGAUCAGCCACACUGGCACUGCGACACGGGGCCAGACUCCUACGGGAGGCAGCAGUAAGGAAUAUUGCGCAAUGGGCGAAAGCCUGACGCAGCGACGCCGCGUGGGGGGA
RNAcentral lists this ribosomal RNA (390 nucleotides) under uncultured bacterium. RNAcentral describes it as "bacterial SSU rRNA". It matches the Rfam family "Bacterial small subunit ribosomal RNA", at positions 29 to 409 of the family's 1533-position model. The record is from RNAcentral.